AGGACAGCCCCUGAAGUCUCUUCUUGCUGACCAUGAAGGUGAAAAAUAAUUACGGACUUCUGGAUCGUAAGACUGACUAUUCAGGUGAAAUUUAAUUUCUGAACAGGUGAUUUCUUAAUUAUUCAGAAUGCUGGAUGUUUUUCAAUAACUUACUCCAGAAUAUGAUUAUCUCUGCCUUCUUCCUAAAGCAGCAUUUAAAGGAGGAUAUGGGCCUGACACUGACAGCUGUAGGUGGAGCAAAUAUGCCUGUUACUAAAAUACCAGUUACUCUGGCUGAACCUUGGGUGCAGCAGAACUUCUUGACAACAGUCUUGACAACUGUGGGUUUCUUGACUUGUUCCUCUGGAUGGAGCUAUUCUGUCAUGUGCUGUGUGUGUGGCCAUGAUCAGAUCUUUGCCAAAUGUCGUGUUUUGGGGGGAUAUGUCACAGCAUCUACAGCAGGAAGGAAACGUGUGGAAUUUUGGAACUUGCAUUGAAACUGGGUUAGACCAAGCUAUUGAAAUGAUAAAGGAGACCAAUUCUA
Long non-coding RNA from Pezoporus flaviventris, 523 nucleotides. RefSeq lists it as uncharacterized. The transcript has 4 exons. The record is from RefSeq and is a predicted model, not a curated record. Lineage: Eukaryota; Metazoa; Chordata; Aves; Psittaciformes; Psittacidae.